UAGGGACCCUAGUGGCGGACGGGUGAGUAACGCGUGGGUAACCUGCCCCAUACCGGGGGAUAACACUUAGAAAUAGGUGCUAAUACCGCAUAAGCGCACGGUACUGCAUGGUACAGUGUGAAAAACUCCGGUGGUAUGGGAUGGACCCGCGUCUGAUUAGCUUGUUGGCGGGGUAACGGCCCACCAAGGCGACGAUCAGUAGCCGGCCUGAGAGGGUGGACGGCCACAUUGGGACUGAGACACGGCCCAAACUCCUACGGGAGGCAGCAG
Molecule: ribosomal RNA, 270 nt
Filed under: uncultured bacterium
Lineage: Bacteria
Description: partial 16S ribosomal RNA
Rfam family: Bacterial small subunit ribosomal RNA
Source: RNAcentral